RNAcentral lists this ribosomal RNA (253 nucleotides) under uncultured bacterium. Its description in RNAcentral is "partial 16S ribosomal RNA". It matches the Rfam family "Bacterial small subunit ribosomal RNA", at positions 524 to 776 of the family's 1533-position model. The record is from RNAcentral.
UACGUAGGGGGCAAGCGUUGUCCGGAUUUAUUGGGCGUAAAGAGCGUGUAGGCGGUUUGGUAGGUCCGCUGUGAAAACUCGAGGCUCAACCUCGAGACGCCGGUGGAAACCAUCAGACUAGAGUCCGGAAGAGGAGAGUGGAAUUCCUGGUGUAGCGGUGAAAUGCGUAGAUAUCUGGAGGACCACCGGUGGCGAAGGCGGCAUCCUGGACCAAUUCUGACGCUGAGGAGCGAAAGCCAGGGGAGCAAACGGG